UGCGCGGUUGGUAGCACCUGCAACACCCAACUCAAGGGACUAGGGCUAUCCAACCCACCACUCUAUAUAUGCGUAUGUAUAUAUAAUAUUAUAUAAGUUAAUAUGAUGGGUUAGGGAUGGUGACCAACUUGUGUUGGCAAGACAUGCAAAAUUUUCAGAGGUGUGGUGGGGCCUUUGCUUAAGCAUUGAGUAAAGUUGUUUUAAGGCGAUAAUGACGAUGACGAUGACGAUGACGAUGACAAUGGCCACAAAAGUAGGAUUUUCAGCUCUAACAUUCACAAGAAAUUCAGUUGAAAGGCUAAAAUCCUUUGCACAUCAAAAGCAUUGAUCACCCUGAAAUUCUCAAGCCUAUACGAAGAUAUCUCGAGACUAUGGAUAACCUAGAAUAAUGUUAAGAAAAGGAGAAAUGAGAAGAUAUAACCAGGACAAUAUGCAGAUGAGAAAUGAAUGUGGGACAAGCAAAACUUUUAGUGAUCUGCCCAAGUUAUGAUCAUGGUAUCGGUAAACAUCCUGCUUCCACAAAGAAGAGGCUUAAGGUUCGUUAGGUCUUUACCGAGGAUUUCAUAUCUUGGUCUUUCUUUGUUGGUAUCUUGAGAACAGUUCCUUGGUAGGCAUAAUCCAUUAGUUCAUUCGUCAUAGCAAGACAAAGGAUGAGGAGGAGGAAAAGAUUUAGUUAUCCUUCUUUGACAUCAAGCAAGAUGGAAAGAGGGGAAUUUUUUUCUGCAACGAAUCUAUUGGAAUUCAGAUUGAAUUGUUUUUCAUCGAUUUAAGCUUGAUAAUAUUACCAUAAUAUCACUGUUUAAUUGUAUGAAUCUGAUCAACAGAAACUUCAGGGUUAGACAGCAAUGUGGAUACAAGUAGGUCAAAAGUUAAUAAUCAUGAAGAUACAGAGAAAGUUAAUAAUCAACGAUAAUUCUUGAUUGGUGAUGGAGAAGAAACUGCACAAAUUGCUGAUGUUCUGCAACUGCAAGAUGAGCUCAACGACCCAAUUCGCAUUAGGGACACUAAUGAAACGACAGCGUUUUUGAACUUAACGACAACUUUUGCCGGCGGUUCUGAUCGCCCAAAAUUCUCCAGUGAAGAUAACUUGUAUGAACUCAGAAAGAUUUGUCUUUGCUUUGCUCGGCGGCGCCUGUAACUAAACGAAGCCGCUAUGCUAGUAGGCUGCUGCUCCUCCUCCUCAUUUCUUCUCCUCGAAAAUGUCCGCCGCCGGCGUUGAUCCAACGGCUCAUACCCAUCAAACCGCCGGCUGAGAGUGGAGACGAUAGUAUGCGUACAGAAAAGUCAACGGAGAACGACCAUGAGUAUUAAUUCUCUGUGGACGAGCAACACUCGGAUCAGGAUCAGUGCAGGACGGAUGAAGAUACACGUGGCAGACACAGUGUCCAGAUUGAAUCGGACGGUCAGUAAGAUUUUUCUGAAUAGCUUACAACGUAUACAUGUGUAAGUGUCAUACACUAUAUGUAUCUUAAUCAAGAAACUGCAGC
This is a long non-coding RNA of Carica papaya (papaya), 1487 nucleotides long. RefSeq lists it as uncharacterized. NCBI's taxonomy places the organism in Eukaryota, Viridiplantae, Streptophyta, Magnoliopsida, Brassicales, Caricaceae. The record is from RefSeq and is a predicted model, not a curated record.